ACUCCUAUCGUUUAAUGGUUUAAGACAAUAUUUUUUCGUAAUAUUAAUGUAAGUUCAAAUCUUACUAGGAGUA
RNAcentral lists this transfer RNA (73 nucleotides) under Plocamiocolax pulvinatus. RNAcentral's name for it is "Plocamiocolax pulvinata tRNA-Glu". It matches the Rfam family "tRNA". Rfam says of the family: Transfer RNA (tRNA) molecules are approximately 80 nucleotides in length. Their secondary structure includes four short double-helical elements and three loops (D, anti-codon, and T loops). Further hydrogen bonds mediate the characteristic L-shaped molecular structure. tRNAs have two regions of fundamental functional importance: the anti-codon, which is responsible for specific mRNA codon recognition, and the 3' end, to which the tRNAs corresponding amino acid is attached (by aminoacyl-tRNA synthetases). tRNAs cope with the degeneracy of the genetic code in two manners: having more than one tRNA (with a specific anti-codon) for a particular amino acid; and 'wobble' base-pairing, i.e. permitting non-standard base-pairing at the 3rd anti-codon position. Lineage: Eukaryota; Rhodophyta; Florideophyceae; Plocamiales; Plocamiaceae. The record is from RNAcentral.